GAUCGGAAAGUGAGGAGUAGAUUUUGAGGUUUUUUGUUUGAAGCUUGUUGCUGGUAGCCUUGCUGCCUGGAUUGACUCAUUGUGCUUAGCUUUAGGGUUUAAGUGCUGGCGACCGCUGGAUUAAUAAAUAUAUUCGUGGUGAAGUUUGCGAGAUGUGUCCGAAUAUGGGGCUUACGGGCUGCUGCUGAAUGCUGUGUAGAAGUGAAGUCGAUGGGGGAGGAAGGAAUUCGGCAGGGCUGGCGUCGUAACGUCUGUUGUGGCUUAGAAAGUCGCCAAAUGUCGAGAUCACCCUGCUUUCUCCUAAAGCAUUUCUUUCAGAGGGAGAGAUAGGAUGUCCGUAACGUGGUGGGAUCGCUCAAGACGUUGGACUACGGGACCAAGAAGGGCCGUGCAGAGAAUGGGUCUGUAACCGAAAGGAAUGGAGGAGUAUUUCUCAUUGCACUUGGAGGAGAAGAGAAACAACCAAUUGGUGAAUCUGUUUUUGGGGAAUGGUGGAAUGAUGUGGCAACGCCAGGUGCCAAUCAUCGGAUUUCCCUAGGAACUAUUUGGUACAAGUCCAAUUUCUAGUUUCAGUUUUUGGUAUCCGAACAAUGACUGAUUGGAGCCGCUUAAUGAUGUUUAACCGUUCGGAGGUUAGUACCCAAGUAAUUAGAAAUUUGUCGCAGCAACGGGUUUGAUCAGUUGUAAGUCGUUUUGAUCAGGAAGGGAUGGUGAUGUUGGAAAAUGGGAGAGAGAAUAUACAAGAAUCUUCUUCGCUGCAGGUGCGCCUCUCAGCUGGUGUAUUAAGUUGGAGUGAAGGUUGACAGGCAUGAUGGCUGGAAACGUUUCUCAACCAAGUGUGGCCGAAUUCACAAGGAUGUUCUGCUAUCCUCGUAAUGCACGACAAUGCAGCUGCUGUCGUUUCUAGAAUUAAUACUGAAUGCUGCUGAUAUACUUGCAAGUAGUUGGUUUACGCAGUAUAGUCAAAGUUGAUGUUGGAUUUCAUUUUUGGCGACUUCAGGUCACCAGGAAACGCGUACGUUCAGUACUAGCUAUUUCUUAGCUGGUGCUGAUGGUAUGGGAGACACUGUCACUGAUGAAGGCUGUGGAACCAAUAGUUUUCAGGAUUAAUCAGGAAUUUUUGGUGGAAAAAAAGAGGAAGAAAUAAAGUCGAGGACGCCUGUGGAUCCCACAAUAGCCAGAAGGUUGGAAGAACGUGAAUUGUUUGGUUGAAAGGUAAAGAUUGCAGGAACGAGAAUGAAGUUGAAAAUGAGGUUUUCAAUUCGUCUUUUUGGUAUUUGAGACCUGAACUUGCAAAUCGGUUUUCUCUUUUGGAGAAUUGGAUAAUGGUCAUCAAUGAUGGCGAGCACUGGCUUACCAAGGUAAUGAAAUGGGACUCUAGAUUUGAAAGUUUUGUUGAAACGAUGUGCAAUUGUUGCAGAGGCUUUAAAAUAAUACAUUUCAGUAGGUUUGGUAUCGUUAACCUGCAAUUGAACCCAGAAGUUGCUUUUCUGGUAAGACUUUGAUAUGCCCCUGACUACACUGAUUACGAUGCUGAGAGAGUUGGUACUGUAGGCGUUUCGGAGCCUAAAUCACAAGUGCUUCAAUCAUUUGUUUAAUUUAAUUUUGAGUGUUCAUUAA
Non-coding RNA from Physcomitrium patens, 1620 nucleotides. NCBI's taxonomy places the organism in Eukaryota, Viridiplantae, Streptophyta, Bryopsida, Funariales, Funariaceae. The record is from RefSeq and is a predicted model, not a curated record.